Molecule: ribosomal RNA, 492 nt
Filed under: uncultured bacterium
Lineage: Bacteria
Description: partial 16S ribosomal RNA
Rfam family: Bacterial small subunit ribosomal RNA
Source: RNAcentral
AGUGAACGCUGGCGGUAGGCCUAACACAUGCAAGUCGAACGGCAGCACAGUAAGAGCUUGCCCUUACGGGUGGCGAGUGGCGGACGGGUGAGGAAUACAUCGGAAUCUACUUUUUCGUGGGGGACAACGUAGGGAAACUUACGCUAAUACCGCAUACGACCUACGGGUGAAAGCAGGGGAUCUUCGGACCUUGCGCGACUGAAUGAGCCGAUGUCGGAUUAGCUAGUUGGCGGGGUAAAGGCCCACCAAGGCGACGAUCCGUAGCUGGUCUGAGAGGAUGAUCGGCCACACUGGAACUGAGACACGGUCCAGACUCCUACGGGAGGCAGCAGUGGGGAAUCUUGGACAAUGGGCGCAAGCCUGAUCCAGCCAUACCGCGUGGGUGAAGAAGGCCUUCGGGUUGUAAAGCCCUUUUGUUGGGAAAGAAAAGCAGCAGGUUAAUCCCCCGCUGUUCUGACGGUACCCAAAGAAUAAGCACCGGCUAACUUCGUG